GAUGAACGCUGGCGGCGUGCCUAACACAUGCAAGUCGAGCGAUUUACUUCGGUAAAGAGCGGCGGACGGGUGAGUAACGCGUGGGCAACCUGCCCUGUACACACGGUUAACAUACCGAAAGGUAUGCUAAUACGAGAUAAUAUACUUUUAUCGCAUGGUAGAAGUAUCAAAGUUUUUGCGGUACAGGAUGGACCCGCGUCUGAUUAGCUAGUUGGUAAGGUAACGGCUUACCAAGGCGACGAUCAGUAGCCGACCUGAGAGGGUGAUCGGCCACAUUGGAACUGAGACACGGUCCAAACUCCUACGGGAGGCAGCAGUGGGGAAUAUUGCACAAUGGGCGAAAGCCUGAUGCAGCAACGCCGCGUGAGCGAUGAAGGCCUUCGGGUCGUAAAGCUCUGUCCUCAAGGAAGAUAAUGACGGUACUUGAGGAGGAAGCCCCGGCUAACUACGUGCCAGCCGCCGCCGUAA
RNAcentral lists this ribosomal RNA (468 nucleotides) under uncultured bacterium. Its description in RNAcentral is "partial 16S ribosomal RNA". It matches the Rfam family "Bacterial small subunit ribosomal RNA", at positions 28 to 523 of the family's 1533-position model. The record is from RNAcentral.